RNAcentral lists this long non-coding RNA (212 nucleotides) under Mytilus galloprovincialis (Mediterranean mussel). The record is from RNAcentral. Lineage: Eukaryota; Metazoa; Mollusca; Bivalvia; Mytilida; Mytilidae.
GCCAAUGCAAUGAGACAAUUGACACAUAUGACAAGGAUUUUAGCAACCCCUAUCACUUUACCACCUUCAACAAAGAGAAAAAUCUAUACUGUAUUGUUAACUAUGAAAGUCUAGUCCACAACAUAAAAAAAUGUGAAGCAUUCAAAGGUAAAAUUAAAGGCCUGAUGAAUGAUAAAUCAAUUAUAAAGAAAAACAUUAUAUUUAAUGUCAGG